RNAcentral lists this long non-coding RNA (634 nucleotides) under Homo sapiens (human). RNAcentral's name for it is "HSALNT0282898". Lineage: Eukaryota; Metazoa; Chordata; Mammalia; Primates; Hominidae. The record is from RNAcentral.
GGUCCCCACGGUCAUCACGCUUUGCUUUCUCAGCCAAGAUCUCGGGGCUCAGGGCGGAAACGCAGCGGAUAUGUAUUUUCUUCCGGGGUUGGUGGCGCUCGGCUCUCAUGACCUGCAGGAAAAGAAGAAGAAAUGGCAGUAAAGAGGGCAACCAUCAUUCCACCCAGCCCAAAAGGAAUAAGAGAAACCCUAUCUUUCAGGAUUCUCAAGAUACAGAGGUAUUUUCAUGGAGUGAUAAUGAAAGGAGCAGCAGCCGCAUUAAUAUCCCAGAGAGAGCAAGUGGACCAGAAGGCAACUUAAACCAGAUUGUUACUGAACCCGAUGCAAACUUUCCCCAGUUCUUGCAUGAGGGGUAUGUACCAUGCCAAGGUCUUUACUCCCAUAUCAACCAGACCUUGAAGGAGGCUCACUUCAACAGCCUGCAGCAGCGAGGGCAAGCUCCAACAUGAUGAAUUAGGACUUCCUUAUUCCAACCUAAACUGUGUUUAUAAAAGCAAUUGCAUACACACCAAAAAAAGUCUAUUGGUUUUUAAGUCUACAUUUUAAGUAACAAGUUAAUGGGCAGUUGUUUAAUUGGGGUUUUACUUCACUGUUGUACUUUUAAAGGGGCUGUGAAUAAAUGUUUAUGAAAUUU